Tetranychus urticae (two-spotted spider mite) is the source of this 775-nucleotide non-coding RNA. The record is from RefSeq and is a predicted model, not a curated record. NCBI's taxonomy places the organism in Eukaryota, Metazoa, Arthropoda, Arachnida, Trombidiformes, Tetranychidae.
UUGAGCAUUGGUAAUUCCUUCUUGUUUCUUCCAUUUGGUUCUUCGAUUUUGGAACCAAAUUUUAACCUAAAAAACGGUUGAAAACAUGAAAUUAAUAAGAAAAUUCUAACCAACUCAUCGGAACAAAUGAAAUCUCUCGAAGAUUUGUCGCCCAGUGAAGGUUGUUCGUGCCUUUUUCUUGCGACUUUUAUCACCCGGUGAUGUGGCGUCACCCAUUGAAUCCUCAUUGAAACGUCCAGUAAAUUCACUUUCCAUUGAAUGGUUAGACAGGUGACUAUCAUUGCUAUUGUCAUUUGAUAUUAAAGAGUUUUCCAACAAUUUAUCUUUACUCAUUGAUAUGGUUCCAUUGGCUACCGAAGAGAUCAAAUUAUUUACAUCAUUUUGGCCUUCACCAAGGAAUGAAUUGGUUUCAUGAUUAUUAACUGAACUCGAUAAUGAAGAAGCUUUUGAUUUACAGGAAUCUUUUUUUCUUUUCACUCCUUUACCAGGAAUCAGGGAAGAUGAUGAACAAGACGAGGACGAUGAAGAAGAUGAUGAAUAUGUAAACACGGUUGAUUCACCUGAAAAGACAACAGUUUAUUAAUAAUGGAUACAAUUUGGUGAUAAAGUUACUCGAUAUGCAACUUGUUUUAUAAACAUUUAUGAGCAUUUCAAUUUGAACAAACAUCUUUAAUAUUGAAACCAAUUUUUCGAUGUUACAAAAAAAGCAAAUAUUAUCUCAUCUUAACCUUUUGAAGGUAACAAUACAAAUAAAAAAAAGAGUCGAAACUUGUUA